CCUACGGGAGGCCGCAGUGAGGAAUAUUGGUCAAUGGAGGAGACUCUGAACCAGCCAAGUAGCGUGAAGGAUGACUGCCCUAUGGGUUGUAAACUUCUUUUAUAUGGGAAUAAAAUGUUCCACGUGUGGGAUUUUGUAUGUACCAUAUGAAUAAGGAUCGGCUAACUCCGUGCCAGCAGCCGCGGUAAUACGGAGGAUCCGAGCGUUAUCCGGAUUUAUUGGGUUUAAAGGGAGCGUAGGUGGAUUGUUAAGUCAGUUGUGAAAGUUUGCGGCUCAACCGUAAAAUUGCAGUUGGAACUGGCAGUCGUGAGUACAGUAGAGGUGAGCGGAAUUCGUGGUGUAGCGGUGAAAUGCUUAGAUAUCACGAAGAACUCCGAUUGCGAAGGCAGUUCACUGGACUGCAACUGACACUGAGGCUCGAAAGUGUGGGUAUCAAACAGGAUUAGAUACCCGUGUAGUC
RNAcentral lists this ribosomal RNA (460 nucleotides) under uncultured bacterium. RNAcentral's name for it is "partial 16S ribosomal RNA". It matches the Rfam family "Bacterial small subunit ribosomal RNA", at positions 338 to 795 of the family's 1533-position model. The record is from RNAcentral.